AAGAAGCUCAUGGUCCACUAUCUGCUGCUCCAGAGUCAAGGCCAGGUCCCUCCCCAUGUCACCACGGAGCACAUGAGCAACUGGCUGGUGUCUCAGGGCAAAAAAUCUCUUAGGGAGAGGUGAGUACCACGUCAGCACUCACCUUCACUGCAAUUCCCUGCAACCAGCAGCACUCCAGGAGAUGUGGGUAAAAUAAACAACAGAAAAAUCAGAAGCCAGGAAAGUUGAAUUGCUCUGUGUUUUAUUUGAAGGGUGUGGAAGGAAACCCUGGAGGAAGGAAACGACCUCACUCGGCUGGUAAGAGAAUGAGAGUUAGAGACAAACUACAAGUUAGUGAGCUCUUUACUAGCCUUUCAACAACGAGUUAGCACAGCAGAAUAGAUCUGUUGUGAAAUUACACCAAUGGGACUUCCUGUUUCAUACUGCAGGCCUGGGAAGUAAACACUUGCCUAAAAAUGAUGAACAUAGAACACGAGGCUUUCUGCAAGCUCCGCCGCUCCAUGCACCCCACUCUUUUGCAGGCCUCGCCAGCUGACAUCGAUCCGAAGGUCCACAGCAUCGUGGAGAAAGCUGUGAGAAGCAUUCUGGGCGAGCAGUCCAAUGAGCCCCGUAGCAACCUGCUCAGCCCAUCUCAGGUGGUGGUGGAGGUGGUGCCCAGGCUCCUCCUGGCCCUGUGGCUUCAGCCAGAGGAAGGCCAUUCAGAGCACCCAAUCCUAAUAGGUGGGAUGGCCGUGGGCAUGGUGGCGGCCGUAGUGGAGAAGCUCUCCUGCAUGUUAAAGGACCCUUCCCCUCACAUCCCUUUCUCCCAGGCUGCUGCUUUUGACUCUGUGCGGUCGAUCCUCAGGAGAAUCAGUCAGUCCUUCUCCACAGAUGACCUGCAGAGCCCUUUUUAUAUGAGCUCUGUCUGUGGCUUUGUGGCUGACGAGGUGCAGAGCUGCUUCCAGCCCCCUGCAGCCACCCUACCAGUCCCCCCUGUGCUCACGGUGGCCGUUUCCACCACACUACCAGCUGGCAUCCAAGCAGACCCGGCUUCUUCCCACCUGGAGGUUGAGGACAUCACCCCUAAGACAGAGGCAGAUCCGGGUUCUUCCCACCUGGAGGUUCUAGACAUCACCACUAACACAGAGGCAGAUCCGGCAUCUUCCCACCUGGAGGUUCAAGACAUCACCACUAACACAGAGGCAGAUCCGGCUUCUUCCCACCUGAAUGUGGUGGACAUCACCCCUAAUACAGAGGCAGAGCCCAUCUCUUCCCUCUUGGAGGUUGUGGACCUCACACCUGAAGAAAGGACUCUCACGAUGGCCGUCUCCGCCACUCUGCCAGCUGACAUCCAAGCAGAGGAUGAUGCUGUGGUCACCCCACACGUCACCAAGGACAUGACACUGGAUGUUUCAUGCAGAGCUAGGAAAGGGGCAGUCCGGCGAUUAUUUUGCAGGCUUUGGAGGGCAGUGUGCUGCUGCGCCUGCCACAAGGAAGAGGAGGAACAAUAUUAAUUAUUCAUCACACCUGCAGAAAAGGGAUUGAACCAUAGAGCAUUAAAUUAUUCACAUUAUAAUUGAACUCAAUUCUGCUUUUCUUCUGUUUACUACUUAAUUUCUUAACUUUUCUAUAAACUUUCACUUUGCAAGUGUGGAUUAGGUUGUGUAAAUAAGUGGGACACAUCCCAAUGUUGAUGCUUUGAAUAAUUUACUUUGUACAUUUAAAAAAAACAUGUCUUAUUUGACAACAAAAACGGAGGGCGCUCAACCAACGUUGAGUUGAGGUGCAACCAAAUAUUUGAAUCAUCAUAGAAAAGGAAAAAGCCCAACUCUUGCUCACUAUAAAAAAUGCAUUGUUUUAUUCAAGCAAGGUUAAAAGAUUAACGUUUCGGCCUAGCCUUUGACGAUAUGCAUGUUCAGGUUUGCCCAGUAAAAGGGUGACCCAGACUCACCCUGGUUCUUGAGGGUUGAAGACAGUGAAAAAUGAUCAUAAAGUAAAUGGGACUUCUCAAUUAUUGAAUACAAAUCUUGACUUGAGGAUUAGAGCAGGCAGGCUGACUUGCUAGGCCUGAAAGCCCUCUGCCUCUACCUCUGUGUGGUUCAUCUCAACUAAGAGCUUGUGUGGGUUGUCUUUCUCUGUGGGUGUGAAUCACUAUGACCUCUCCCUCUGCCUGCCAUUUGGCUGAUCAGAAGCCAUCUGCUCUUUCUUGCUCACAUGAACAGGAGGAAUGGCCUCUGGGGUAACCUCCUCCAUCUAUCUAAUGCCUCUUCCACCUCCACUUUCUGGCUGUGUUUGAUUGAGGUCACUCGUUCUCUCUCACUGGGUAUUGGAUAGUUCCUCCUCCUCUAUGUCUUUGUGAGGGUGGAGGGAGUUAUCCUGUUCCGGCGCCCUCUAAGGGUGUGCAUCAUAAACUCUUUCGGUGUGUUGAAGGGUUCAGUGGUUUUGGAGGGAGUCUGAAGUUCGAUCUCUAGCGAUAAGUGUAGGGGCUGUCCCGUGGUGGUGUCCCCCUCCCUCCAAAGGAGGAGCAACUGAGACAUGUGAUGAGGCCAAGGAAGAUCACUCUGCAAGGACGGGAUAGGACACAUCACAACACUGCAGCUCAUUCAUAUUCAAACACACCUCAGAGUACGGACACAAACAUGGACGCCCCCCCUCCCCCACACAUAGACAAUGAAUUUACCUGUACAUAUCAGAAUCAUACAUUCUACCCCCACAAGUAUUGAUCCCCCACCUCAAACAUGUUGAGUCAAUUCCAGAUGCUGGAAUGCAGGUGCAAUAGGGCCAAGUAUGUAAUGAUGUGAUACCCGUGUACCCCAUAUCUGACCAGGUGAAUCCAGGUUAACGCUAUAAUCCCUUAUGGAUGUCACUAGUUAAAUCCACUUAAAUUAGUAUAGAUAAAGAGGAGGAGACAGGUUAAAAAAAUAUUGUAAGGCUUGAGACAAUUGAGACAUGGAUUAUAUUAUGGAAUAGCAGAAAAAUCUGACGAGAACAUCAAAGCAAGAGUGAAGGACAUUUGUAAUUGUAUGAAUAAAUAUAUAAUUUAGGUCACCCACUUGCGUGGUGCAAAGGACUGUUUUUAUUUGCAACUAGUAAGAACUUUUCUUUUUGUGAGACCCUGAUUCAUGUGAACGUAUACAAGUUUAAUAUUCUUCAUCUAGUCACUGUGAUAGUAAAUGUCCAUUUCUGUUUUUCUAUUAAUGCUAGGCGA
This 3187-nucleotide long non-coding RNA is filed under the name Oncorhynchus kisutch (coho salmon). RNAcentral's name for it is "lncRNA (ENSOKIG00005035708.1)". The record is from RNAcentral. Lineage: Eukaryota; Metazoa; Chordata; Actinopteri; Salmoniformes; Salmonidae.